RNAcentral lists this long non-coding RNA (2439 nucleotides) under Bemisia tabaci. RNAcentral describes it as "lncRNA ENSSSA1UGG011009". The record is from RNAcentral. Lineage: Eukaryota; Metazoa; Arthropoda; Insecta; Hemiptera; Aleyrodidae.
UCAAAGCUCCCGAUUGUGAAGCUUCUGAGUUGUCGUGUGUCAAACUGCCAAGUAUUUUGAACCUGCUUGAUUUUUAUCCGCAAAGACUCCAAUAAAUCGAGUUGUGACAAUAGUUGUUUUUGGUAAUGGCCUUACAUCUUUUUUUGUUAAAAAGAAAUAAAUUAAAUAUUAAUUUUUUCAGUAAAAAUUACCAUUCAAAUUAUUUUACACAUUGAGAAAUUUUUAUUGAAAGGUUGGCUUCUAUCAAAUUAAAAAAUUCCAUCAAUUUUUUUGUGUGAAAAAAAAAAUGGUGAGCAGGGAAAUUUUUUGAUAACAAAAGUCCCAAAAGUCUUGUAUUUGACCCUCAUAUAAGCGAACAAAUGGAGGUAGCAAAUUACAGGUUGUACAAGAUCAAAAAUAUUUUGCUAACUUUCCAAGACAUCCUCUGUGAGCUCAUGAAGUCAAAUAUUCACUGAGUUCUAGUGAUUUUUAGACAAUUUAUUCAAGUAAUUCUCAGGGAAAUUUUACACCUUUUUUUAAGAGAGGAACUACCAAGUUCACCAGCAUUAAGUUCCACCAAAGUGAAAUGUCAACGAGCCAGUGUCAUGGUCUACACAAAAAAGUCUGAAAAUUCCUCAGGGGCUCCCUUUGCAAAUUUGUUGCCUAAAAAUCACUGUGCUGAAAUCAGCAAAUUUUUGAUUGAACAAGCCCAACAAAGUUGUGUUAGAACGCUGAUGAAAAGCUCUUUAAACUUGUACAGCUCACAUUAUCUUAAAUUUAUUUUUUCACUCAUUUGAAGGUCUGGUCACAAUAAUUUUUGGACACCCAUUGUAAUAUUAGUUGGAUUUAUUUAAUUUAAUGUAGGAUUUCAAUAGAUAUAAUUUCAUUUAAAAUCAGUUUGAAGGUAAAUUUUCCCAAGUGGAUUUGGUCAAAGUUUUUCUGCAUUUUCUUCAGAAUUAAAGCUACGAAAAUUAAAAUUUCUUUUUAUGCAAUGUUUUUAGAUAUUCACAAAGUUCAUCGAUGUGUAUCCACUAUUGAGUUACUUACCAGAGUGUAACUGUUAAUUUUAUGAAGACCCUCAGAUCUGUUUCGAUGGGUCUUAAACUGUUGUGAGAAUACAAAAUUUGUCAGUAAAAACUCACCUGAAGGUAAAACAAUUGACUAUAAAUUGAAGCUGCAAGUAAAAAUGAUCAGCUGACCAAUCUAUAAUCACUUCAGUUUACUUAAAUGUGAAGAAAGUACCUACCUUUUAAAACAUUUAGGUAUUACUUUAAUCAUAAGGUAUUACCAAUUACCUGAUUUAUUUUUCUAUGUACUAUCAUGUUUAUUAACUUAUUUUUAAUAUCGUCAAAAGUAUAAUUCAAUGGCUUUUUUAUCAGUCUCUUUUUUCUUUUUUCGUUUUUGGACUUUGAUUAUUUGAGAUUGUUACAAAUAUACUGAAAUUUAGUGCUUUCAUAAAUUGUUUAAAAUUUUUAGAAAAAAUUUCUUCCCAACCGCUUCUAUCUAGAUUAUUCUAUUUUUGCGAGUAAACCAUGAAAAUUCCGAAUAAUAUUUGUGGGCACAAUAAUAAUGGUAUUUGGCACAUAAAUUUUCCAUCCUGGAUGUUUCAUGCAUCUGUAAGUCGGUUUUUGCAGCAUCGUAUGAAAAGAUAAUGUCAAUAAGUAACUUAUCUGUGAAAUUUCGUGUCAUUUUCUCUUAAAUUAAACUACCUAUCAGAAAAUAUUUUCUAAAGUUUUCAUGUGAAAGUAUUAUAUAGUCUGUUUUUUGCGGGGGAAAAAUUAAGUGAGAGCAAAAAUUUUAAACCAUAGAAAUUGAGAUUUUGAUUGUAAAACUACCAAACCACGGACCUCUAAUUCGGUGUUUGAUAAUUUCCACUCAUAUAGAAUACUUACUACCAGCCUGUUUUUCGGAAAUUUUUAGCGAUUCAAUGUGGAACAAAUGAAUACUUAAAGUUCAAUCAAUUUUUUCAAAUUAAAUAAAAUCAGUGCAAAAUUUGCAGGAAUAAAAUGUGACAGGAGAUUUGCAAUGCUACUAACUAAGAUAGAGGCUAUGGGUGCUUUCAACAUCAAUAUGUGUUCCUCUCCUUCCACCUUGGAUCUACUUAUCUCCAUAAAUGACGAUCAGCCGUACCUAAUGUAUCCCUUUCGAUGGCUAUUUUAAGAAAUCUCCUUGUUAGGCACAAGGGAACUUCUUAAAAUUGGAAAGUAAAAAUCAAAAUUGAAAAAUAUCACAGAUAGAGGUACCCAGGUAAACUAAUAUAAAAUGAACAAUAGGUAAACUAAGUAAUGGUAUGGAGGUUGCUUAUUAAAUACUGUGGGUAAGUUCUAAAAUUUGAAAAUCACCAGUUGUAUAAUCAACACGGAGCAUUCCUGUCAAAUUUCAUCCGCUACUUUAUCAUUAAGUAUACAAUUCCAGAUCCUUCUAGCAACGAAAAAUGAAAAUUUUGUACCCCGAGGUUCU